This 809-nucleotide ribosomal RNA is filed under the name uncultured bacterium. RNAcentral's name for it is "bacterial SSU rRNA". It matches the Rfam family "Bacterial small subunit ribosomal RNA", at positions 8 to 796 of the family's 1533-position model. The record is from RNAcentral.
AGAGUUUGAUCCUGGCUCAGAACGAACGCUGGCGGCGCGUCUUAAACAUGCAAGUCGAACGGGAACCCUGAUGCUUGCAUUGGGGGGAGAGUGGCGAACUGGUGAGUAACACGUGGAUAAUCUGCCUUCAGGUUGGGGAUAACCACUCGAAAGGGUGGCUAAUACCGAAUAAGAUGGUAGUUGCAUAUGUAGCAGCCAUUAAAGGUGGGGACCGCAAGGCCUACUACCUGAAGAUGAGUCCGCGGCCCAUUAGCUUGUUGGCGGGGUAAAAGCUCACCAAGGCGACGAUGGGUAACCGGCCUGAGAGGGUGAACGGUCACACUGGGACUGAGAUACGGCCCAGACUCCUACGGGAGGCAGCAGUUAAGAAUUUUGCACAAUGGGCGAAAGCCUGAUGCAGCGACGCCGCGUGGACGAUGAAGGUCUUCGGAUUGUAAAGUCCAUUAAGCAGGGACGAAUAAGCAAGAGGUAAUAUUUCUUGUGAUGACGGUACCUGCCUAAAGCCCCGGCUAACUACGUGCCAGCAGCCGCGGUAAUACGUAUGGGGCGAGCGUUGUUCGGAAUUAUUGGGCGUAAAGGGCGUGUAGGUGGGGGAUUAAGUUAGGUGUGAAAGCCAUGGGCUCAACCCGUGAAUUGCAUCUAAUACUGGUUCUCUUGAGUUCGGGAGAGGAGAGCGGAAUUCCAGGUGUAGCGGUGAAAUGCGUAGAUAUCUGGAAGAACACCAGUGGCGAAGGCGGCUCUCUAGCCUAGAACUGACACUAAGGCGCGAAAGCGUGGGGAGCGAACGGGAUUAGAUACCCUGGUAGUCC